This 255-nucleotide ribosomal RNA is filed under the name uncultured bacterium. Its description in RNAcentral is "partial 16S ribosomal RNA". It matches the Rfam family "Bacterial small subunit ribosomal RNA", at positions 524 to 776 of the family's 1533-position model. The record is from RNAcentral.
UACAGAGGGUGCGAGCGUUGUUCGGAAUUAUUGGGCGUAAAGGGCGCGUAGGCGGCGCGGUAAGUCACCUGUGAAAUCUCCCGGCUCAACUGGGAGCUUGCAGGCGAAACUGCCGUGCUCGAGUAUGGGAGAGGCGAGUGGAAUUCCUGUGUAGCGGUGGGAAUGCGCAGAUAUCAGGAGGAACACCAAUAGCGAAGGCAGCUCGCUGGGGACGGUACUGACACUGAGGCGCGAAAGCGUGGGGGAGCGAACAGG